Molecule: ribosomal RNA, 253 nt
Filed under: uncultured bacterium
Lineage: Bacteria
Description: partial 16S ribosomal RNA
Rfam family: Bacterial small subunit ribosomal RNA
Source: RNAcentral
UACGUAGGGGGCAAGCGUUGUCCGGAUUUAUUGGGCGUAAAGAGCGUGUAGGCGGCCAGAUAGGUCAGCUGUGAAAACUCGAGGCUCAACCUCGAGAUGUCGGCUGAAACCAUCUGGCUAGAGUCCGGAAGAGGAGAAUGGAAUUCCCGGUGUAGCGGUGAAAUGCGUAGAGAUGCGGAGGAACACCGAUGGCGAAGGCAGCCCCCUGGGCCGACAUUGACGCUCAGGCACGAAAGCGUGGGGAGCAAACAGG